Molecule: ribosomal RNA, 468 nt
Filed under: uncultured bacterium
Lineage: Bacteria
Description: partial 16S ribosomal RNA
Rfam family: Bacterial small subunit ribosomal RNA
Source: RNAcentral
GACGAACGCUGGCGGCGUGCUUAACACAUGCAAGUCGAACGGAAAGGCCCUGCUUUUGUGGGGUGCUCGAGUGGCGAACGGGUGAGUAACACGUGAGUAACCUGCCCUUGACUUUGGGAUAACUUCAGGAAACUGGGGCUAAUACCGGAUAGGAGCUCCUGCUGCAUGGUGGGGGUUGGAAAGAUUCGGCGGUUGGGGAUGGACUCGCGGCUUAUCAGCUUGUUGGUGGGGUAGUGGCUUACGAAGGGUUUGACGGGUAGCCGGCCUGAGAGGGUGACCGGCCACAUUGGGACUGCGAUACGGCCCAGACUCCUACGGGAGGCAGCAGUGGGGAAUAUUGCACAAUGGGCGGAAGCCUGAUGCAGCAACGCCGCGUGCGGGAUGACGGCCUUCGGGUUGUAAACCGCUUUCGCCUGUGACGAAGCGUGAGUGACGGUAAUGGGUAAAGAAGCACCGGCUAACUACGUG